UUUUUUUUUUUGAGGGUGAUGGGAUGAGGUGCAUAGGAGAAUUGUGGUCAAUUUUUCUAUCAAGUUGAGGUCCAAAGUGACCAAUUUGUUGAUGUUUAUGCCUUGUGAGGGUGGAUGAGGCUGAUGAUUCAUCAUCUCCGACAAGGACAGAUUCAUUCAUAAUUUCAUAUGUCCAGAUUGGGAGGAAGGUAAUGAAGUGAGAAGGGAUAAAGUUCCCAGCACUGGUUUUCCUUUUUAGUUGGUUAUUGGUCUACUUUGUACCUAAACAAAAAAAAAUAAAUUAAUCUUGUUUACACUAUCAUCGUUAAAUGUAUGACACGUGUGUCAUUCAUUCAACCGUGAUAGUAUAUACACUGAUAAUGUAUAUAAGAUUUACUCAAAAAAAAAAUAAAGGAGAAUGAUAGCCAAAAAUUUUAGUUGAUACAUUUUUUUGCGUUUAAUACGAUUUUCAAGAAUUGAUUCUUUUAUUCGGUGUCCUAAGGACAUAAAAUAACGUGGGCUUUAUUUAAUUGCACUUACAUAGGUAUUUUUUCAAUUGUAACGUAGUUGAUAAUGCUAGAAUUUAACAGUGGGAUCAAUCCUCCUUUUUGGAUGCUUAUCAUGCGCCUCUUGGAGAUAUAACCAAAAAACCUGUCAAGAAUCAUUUUCUAUUGUUCAACAUUCUGAAGCUAAUUUGGUCAAAACAAAAGAAAAAGAACAUUCUGAAACUAAUAACAUGAUGGACUAAUCUAGAUAAUUGACCCAUAGAUGGCCAAAAUGUGAUUGCUAAUGUCACAGUUUCUAUUUUAUUUUUUUUUGUGUUUUUUUAAUAUAUAUUUUGGAGGUUGGGCUUCUGAUUGUAGUUGCAUGCAACAGGUUCAUCUUCCCUAAUGUUGGUCUCCUACUUUCAUGGGACAAAUCCAACAAGAAAAUUUGCCGACAAACCCCAAAAAAAAAAAAAACUAAGCAAAACCCAUGCUUUCAUAAGCCGCAGAUCAACUCAAUGGAAUCAAAUGUACUUAUAAUAGUUCUGAAAAACCAAUACGACUUUCAUAAUGUAUUGUACUGAUUAUUAUACUGAUUUUGAUUAGAAAGUAAUUAGCAGUAUAAUUCAAGACUGGAGAGUGAAGACUGGGUGGCAGCGGCCAAGUUGAGCUGUUAAGACUAGGGGUGGCAACUCGGGUCCAAAUCAGGUUGGCGGGUCAGGUUUGACCCGCUCCGUCAGAAAAUCUGUUGAUCUGAACCCAACCCGUGACGGGUCAGGUAUACUGACCCGAACUCGAAAAUUUCAGGUUGACGGGUUGGCGGGUCGACCCGAAAUGACCCGAAACUUAAUUUUAAUUUAUUAAUUUAUCACUGUAAUUUCUAAUAAAAUUAAUUUCUCACAAAACUAAUUACAUAAUCAAGUAAUAAAAAUUUAAAUAAAUAAUUCUAAACCAAAUCUAAAAUAAAUUAAACACCGUAAAAGUGUUUUAUCCCAAACAAAAUAUAAAAUAAAUUAAAACAGUAUAAAAGUAAAAAAUAAUAUAAUAUAUUAUUUGUCCAAAUAUAAUAAUUUUAAUUUCACACAAAUUAAAUAAAUUCAUUUAGGAUUAAGUAAUUAAUACCUUUGAAAAAAAGAAUAACUUAGUUUAGUUAGGUAAAAUUAUUUUUAUGUUUAUUAAAUUAUUUUUAAUUCAUAAACGGGUCAUAUCGGGUCAUAUCAGGUCACCACGGGUUGACCCGAAAUCGACCUUUUUCUUUUCGGAUUCAUUGGGUUCAACCCGAUUCUGACCCGAAUUCCCGAAACCUCAACCCAAAUCCAUUAAUUUCGUGUUAGAUUCGUGUCGUGUUUUCAGGUCGUGUCGAAAUUUGCCACCCCUAGUUAAGACCAGUAAUAACUAAUAAGUCAUAUUAUCAAAAUUAUAGUAAACUAAAAUAUUAGGUCUGGUUUGGAUUACUAUUUUCUAAAAUUUUUAUAAAAAAAAUAUACUAUAGCGAUUUGAUAUAUACGAGAUAAAAUAAUAAUUAAAAAAUUUAUUCACAAAAAACUCCAAAAAAAUUUUAAAUGAAAAUGGCUUUUUUUUUUUGUCAAACAACAAACUUUUUGUUGUUAAAGAAACAACGCGCAAAUUCUGCGUUGCUUCAUUUGCAACUUUGCCGGCGGGGGCCUAUUUUCGUAUUAGACUGGCUACAUAUGAGCGUGACUUCUUUACGUUGACGCAUGAGUUAGUUAAGGCACUAUUUGAGAUUUGACCGGGUCUUCAACGUUGUACACAACCUUGGACCUGGUACGGUAGUGGACUGUCCCAAAAGUCUUUCCUUUUUAAUUUUAAGGGGUUUUAUUUUUAAAAUCACUCAUAUGAAGACCAAAUAAAUUGUUUUUGGCCAAUCUGCGUGUACAUGAACGGUGGCGGACUAACCGAUCAUUUUGUCUCGUAAAAACCAUGCCCAAAUUUCUAUGAAAAUGGUAGUAAUUAGGUUGUGAAUAUAUCACAUGAGACUAAAGUUGAUAUUUAUAUUUAAAUUUUUGAAAACCCGAAUUAUGUUACACGAGAGAGGAUAAUUUAAAAGAAAAAUUGUUCGAAACGUCCCUUACAUUUAAUUAAAUGAAUUUUUCUAUCAUCCAUUUUUAAAAUGUUAACUUUAUAUCCCGUACAAAUUUGAGUUAGUAAAAACUCGUUUCAACAUAAGUUUUUGACCACUUUUAGUUUGAAAUUACUAUGUGAUACACUUUUAGUUUUCACUUUUUUAGUGAUAAAAAUAAAUAUAAAUUUGAUCAAAUUUCACUUUUUUUUUUAAUGAAAAAACGAAUAUGGUUUGAGUCAGAUCCUACUUUUUAAAGAAAAAAAAAAAGAAUGUGGGUCAUGUAAUGACUACAAAUGAGAUUUAACAUUUUUGUCCCUAAGAAAGUAAUUAUAUGUGGGUCAUGUAAUGGAUUUAGGAUAAAAGGUGGCUGAAAAUCUAAGUUAUGACUAAUUUUUAUAUACUUGAUCUUGUAAAAAAUAUAAAGUUGUCAUUUUAAAAGUGGUGGUUGAAAAUUUUCAUUUGACAAAAUAUGAUGAAUGUUUUAAAUGAUUUUCUCCAAUUUAAAUUCGUAGGGGCCGCCGCUACUAGCUUGGACCAGCGUGAGAUGCAUUUCUUUGCUUUUGUUUACAUUCAUGAUUCUUGAGAUGAAAAGGAAAAAAGAAAAAAUAUUCAAGUGCCAGCCUCACAAAGAUGAGACACACGGUGAUUCGAGUGUCAACCUUGCAAAACAUCAAUCCCUUGAGAAGUAGCAGUCAGUCUGGUUGAUCUUUUAUGUCCGACUGUAGAAGCAUAGCCAUACCUAAGGCCAUUGAUAAAUGAUGGGGAUAAUUUCAGAAACCUCCUUUGAGGUUUGUCAUAAUAUCACUCAAUUUUCUGGAAGUUUUUAAAAUUUCACUUACCUCCCUUAUCAACUUGAUAAGACUAAAUAUUCCUAACAAUGGUUACAAAUUGAUUACAUUACUCUUGCUCUUAAUAACUAUUUAACUAAUAAGCCAAAACAAAAUAAAAUUUAAAAACAAAAAAUGUAAAUUAAAAAAUAAAUUGCCAGCUAAUAAUGAUCCAUAUUUCUUUAUGUUAGGGUCGUGGUAGGAUAGCAAAGGACGUGGAUAAAUUAAACCUAAUCAAGGUCAACCACUUUGGGGGAUUUUGGUGAAUAAUUAAUAUCUUAAAAAAAUUUCGUACACAGUUAAAUUACAAUUAAGGAAGUCAAGAUAUUUUUUGAAAAAAUAUGUUUUAAUUGAUGGUGUAGUUUAAAUUGUAUUGUGCAUACGUGUGAAUUUUUCAAGGUGUAAAUUUUGCUUUUGUUUUAAUACAACUAAAAUAAAUAGUUUACGUAAAGAAAUUUACACCUUCAAAAAGUUUAACCUUAUUUUAUUUUUUAUUAUUGUUACAAAUUUCAUAAGUAGGAUAACAUAAGGGUAGUAUUGGAACAAAAGUUUUAUUUUCCUUGUAUUUCCUCCAAAGGGGUUAAAAUGUUACAAGAAAUGUCAAUCCAAAGGAGGUAAGUGAGAUUUUAAAAACCUCAGGAGCAUUGAGUGAUAUUAUGAGAAAUCUCGAAAAAGGUUUCUGAAAUUAUCCCUAAAUGAUGUCCAUAAACUACAAGAAGGAUAAACUACAAAACUAGAGGCUAAUUGUGAAGUACAUUUCUCAUAAACCUAGUUAUGUUUAUUUGCAUUAUAUCUGUGAGCCUUGAUGUAGAUUGGAAUGCAUAUACUCCUACUUGGCAUUUGGGCUUUGGCAGGCAUAUGACCAGUAGAGUCCCCAACCAGCAAGAGCCUUGAUCAAACAAAUAAAAUAAAAUAAAAAUUACCAAAUGCAAAUUUCAUUGUCACGUUGCUGCCAAAAGCAAGGUCAAACCAAAAAUGGAAAAAAAAAGGAUCAUUGACAAGACUUUCAUCGUAAUCAAACUGAUAUAAAGAACUUGGAAAGCGAUAAAAUGGGUCGGCACAGAUUGAAUGGCGUAACACUUUCAUAAUUUGAUGUAUAACAGGAUCGGCAUAGACUGAAUGAUAUAGCACCUUUUAUAAUUUGAUGUAUAAAAUGCUGUCUGAAAAAGUUAAAAAGUGAUUGAAUAUUAUGCUUAUGAUGGAACAAUUUUUUUUUCCUCGCUUUGCUCCCACGCUCAAAUUAACUUCAUCCUGCAAAAUGCUCCUAGCAAGUAAAGGGGGCAAAACUAAUCCUUGCAAGGAUUAGCUGACUGAAUUAGCUAGGACAGAGAUGAGGGUAGUAUUCCCUUUUUGUAACUAAUCCUUGUAAGGUCAAGUGUUAAUAUCUAUAACAUGAUAUCGUUUGUUGAAAAAAAAAAAAAAGUAAAGGGGGCAAAACAGAACACUACAUCUUGUAUUUUUCUUCUCUCUUCUUGUUCCGUCAAUCAUUUGUCCAACAACUUUGCAACCCUUUCUUUUCUUUUCUUUUUUUUGUCAAUAAUUUGAGUGAAGCAAAGGAAAAUGAGCAAAACAGUUCUGUUUCUCUUGAAAAAGACUUAUUUUAAUGCUAGGUGGUCUAGUAAAUGAAGCACAUGUAUAUAACGUUAUAUAUAUAAAAUUGCUAUCUUGUAUGCGCAAGAUUUAUCACACAAAAACCAAUUACAUUGGCAUGUAACACAGCAGUUAAAUUCUACUUUUUAGCCACUCUCAGCCGCAUCAUCCUUAGAUCUGAAGGCACAUUUGACUUUCACGGAUCACUUACUUUAGCAAAGCAAGCAUGCAUGGAUGAUCAACCAGAGGAAUAUGCAGAAAUCAAGGCAGUCAAGCAGAGACAAGAUUCACUCAGUCAAGAUAACUGUCCAUUGACAUAAGCAAGUUGGAUACAUUUACUCACAUAUGAGAAAUAUCUAUAAGUUUACAUGUCCUUUCCUUCUAUUACAAAGUCUUAUUAUGACAAAUCCAAUUAGAAGAAGGUACCCUCAGGAGGUUGAACAAGCUUGCGGUUAUGCGGAGCUGCCAUUUCCCUCCUCAGCUGAGUCAGUAUGUCUUCCAUAGUGAACUCGCGCUGCCAAUUUGUCAGCAUGCCAAACUUCUUUCCUUCAACCUGUUACAGAUUAAUCUGUCAAAAUCAUGGUAAUUACACAUCAUAGCUCCCUUUCACAACCACACAAACAGACCAAUAAAUUUGCUAAAAAGACUCCUAUGGAAUGUAAUCACACCAAGGAUCUGUAAAAUGAUAGUACAAGGAAAAGUUUGACUUGCACACAAGUAGUGAUUCUAGAUCCUCCUUUUGGGACGCUCCAACAUUCAAUUCUGAAUCUAAACGAAUAAUAGUUUCUACUUACCAAAUCAUCUAAAUUGUCCAAACGCAUUAAGCACAAGAUCUAAAUCUCUAAAGGACCUCUUGUCUAGAGAUAUAUCAAGGGACAAUUAAGCUAUCUUUUCAGGAUUGUAAGCAUUCCAUUGAGCCUAAGAUCACUAUCCCUCUACACAGGGAAUCACUUCGUUAAACAUAGAAGAUUCCCAGGGCUAUAAUGGGGCUCUGGUCUGUAUCAUCUUAUGAAACUUUUAGCUCAAACAGAAGUUUAUCAAACAAUGUAAAAAGGCAAAAUGGUAAUGAACCAAUACUGUCACACAAUGCUAGCAUUACCACUCCCGUCUCAGGAUUCACACAAGUCAUGUUGACGCGGGAAUGGAAACGAACACUUGGAGGCUUGUCCGGAUAGUCUUUGUCACAGAAGAGUUUCAGUUGAUAAAUACGGCCUUCAUGCACAGUCUGGAAAAUGACAAAGCAUAUAAUUGAGACAAAUUACAUCAAAAAGUGCAUAAAGCUCUAAAACUCUAAUACUUUGCAUGUUGAGCUUUAGACUUUCGACUCCUUGCAUCCAAGCUUCUGGAUAUAGUGUUUGAACUGUGUAGAUCUAUAUUACAUACAGUUAUGCAUAAAGUACAUUUUCUCCAGUUUGUACACGGACAAAUCUGUACCCUCUUCUCCUAUAUUGUAUUAACAUGACAACAGUUAACACUAACUACCAUGCAGAAAUGGAAGCUACAUGCCACCAACAAUUUAAUGUGUCACCCACCCCAAACUACGUUAUUGAAUAAACUAGAAGCACACAUCACCAAAACUUGUACAGGGUGUUGAGUGCAAACAUGUAUGAUAGCAUUAGAUUGGAAGUAUGGUUAUGGCCACAUCAUCCAAAAAUCAAAUUACACAUAAGUUUGCAAGAUCUGUGAGUCAAUGCCCACUUACCACAAAGAUAAUUUCAAGGAAUGAGUUGUUCAACAAGUACAGUUUAUGUAUCUGACAACUGACAAGUGAAGUACAUUUUGAAAAUAUGGUACUGCGGCCUCCUAAAAAGUUUGGCGAAUUAAGGCUUUCAGAUUUGAUGCAGUCUGGAAAAUGUAACAGGAGUAGCUCUUGCUGCUUCAAGGAGCACUACUUCACAUCUCAUAGGCAAAAUGUCCUAUUCUCUACUCUUUGGUUACUUUCACCAAAUGAAACGCCAGCAGUUGCUAAAUCGUUACUUGGUCCAGAAUGUUCCAUACAACAAAAAGUGAAAUAAUGUCAAAUCUACCUUCACUUUCUCCUUGAUAUACAGGCCAAGAUGUUGUCUAGUUUCUCCUUUGCCUAUUACUGUUUUCAAGUCUCCUUUAAUAAUGCUAAGUCAAAUUUGGGCAUUCAAUUUGAGAAGGCAGAAGGAUAUCUUUAGGGCACAUCAAAACUGCAACAAUUUGACUUCUGCUUUAACAACCCACAGCUUCAAUGCAUAUAAUCUAUUUUUCCCUCUUUUAACCGAUAUCAACAAGCUGCAAAAUAAUUCCUCAAAGCAACAAUGUAGCAGAAGGAUUUUAAUGACUAACACUGAAAAUACAUGAUCAAGGAAGUGAAGUCACGAUUCAUGGUCCAUUGCUAUCAAACAAAUAUAAAAUAAAAAAUAAAAAGAGGAUACUCACACUACAAAAUUGAGUGGUAGACAAUCAAGGUGCAUAACAGUAAAGAAGAUUGGUUGACAGGAAGUCAUACUUUUGUCCCCGACCUUUAUUGCCAUUAAUGAUACAACAAGCUUACACAAUGCACUUACAUUAUGUGGACCAAUUAUGGUGCCGGUCCAAGAACGCAUAUAUAUGUCAUCAGCAUCAUCCAUUCCAUAGCUGACAGAACCAUCUCCAAUACCCUUCUCCCCACGUUCAAGUUCCUCCAACAGCCUGAAGUUUCGAGGAACUGUAGACAAAUAAAAAUGUGUCAUACCAUAAAAGCAACAAAUUCAACGUGAUCAAAUUGACAUGGUCCUGAAAAAGCAGUGUCAUCUUUCAAAACCAGCAAAAAACACACAUCAGUCCUAAAGCCACGAAGACUUCAAACUUUAUCCAAUGCAUAGCAACCAUCCCACUAUUCAUUAAGCAAGCGACAUAUGGAAAUUUCAGCAAAGAUCUGUUGGAUCUGACUCUAGUAAGUAUGUAAUACCACAAACCAGGACACUUUAUCCGAACAAUGAAGUAAACACAAAUAACCUCAAGCCUACAUCAACUUUAUUUCUACCAGCAAAUAGAAUUCAACAGUUCUAAUUCAAUUAAAGAUGUUGAUGCAUGUAAACAAAUCUCACAGAUGUUUAAAUAGAAGCAGAUAAUAUUCAUGGCCAAAAAUGAGUUCAAUCGGAAGAACUGUGAGACAAUCCAAAUAAAUCAGUAGGAUGAAACAUGUAUUUUAAACAUAGAACACAAAAUAUUUCUUGAACAGGUACUAUCUUAUGAGUGUUCUGUGCAGUACCUAAAAGACAAUAUCCUUAAUCCUAAUGGCCCAAACUAGAUUCUUCUCUUUAUGCACACUAGGUUGUCGAUGUACUAGUUUUAUACAGGUAAGUUUGCCAUGAAAAUGCAAAUGGACAUUAAAAUCCAAUGGACCCCACAAAAUUUAUCUCUCUCACUUUGCAUAGGUAAUAUCCAGCAAAAGAAUCAUAUGCAUCUAGCAAGUUGUUCAAAAAAAAUUACUGAGCUGAUCAAACCAUAUUUAGAAUAGAAAUUCAAAAAAUGAAAACUGUAUGCUAUGUAGAAUGCACAUAUUUAUAUAUGAGACUCAGAUAGAUUACCUAGACAAGACUGAAUCAAAAUAGGGAGAUUUCAAAACUGUUUCACACCUUUCAGUAUUAUCUAACUAUCCCAAAUAGGCCCCUCUCCCAAAUAUAUCUCAAUUGUAUCCACGUCAUUGACAGACAAAAACAUAAAAGCUCGCCAUCUGAAGUCUUACAUGCAAUUAUAUGAGUCAUGACACAUGCGACAAAUUUGUUCUACACAUUCAUUAACCAGCCAAUCCCUAAAAGGUCAGACAUCGUUCCAAGUCCCAACUUUUAUUCAGCAAAUCACUUCUUAGACACAUAACUUGUUCUCAAUCUCUUCCAAUUCUCGCUUUCAGUUAACUGUUACAUCAUACAAAAAUGCCAUUUUUUUGGCCAAUUCAGCUCACCGCAAUAGACAUAACUAUCAUUGAGUCUAAAAACAAUUGCACAUGAGCUCAAAUUCAGUUUCAGUUUCCUAACUAUUGAAUCUUUUCUAUUUCCAAAACUACAAACUAACUCAAAUAAUCACAUGAGAAACAAUUUCUCCAUGCAACAAACAAAGUUUGCGCUUCCUGUCAUACAUAUUGAACAUAUUAGCCAUGCAUCAGAAUCCAGCCAGCACAUACAUCUAAACAGCCCAGUUCAGAUUCUCUAUGGCCUAUCACUUUUAAUUCAUUCCCAAAAUUCAAAAAAAGAUAUUCAAAAUUUUCCAAUUAUAAAAAGACAAACUUUGCCAUACCACUUUAACAUGUGACGAAGCAAGAAAACAAUAGUCAAACCAGGUAGAAAAAUUACAUAAAAUGCUUCACAAAAUUAAACUUACGGGCAACAUGCAGGCACUAGAUACAUACAAACUACAGGAGGGCCAAAGGAAAAAGGGAAAAAAACAACUACAAAUCAGUAACAAACAAAACCCAUUUCAAUAUACUCAAUUCAAAUCAAAUUCAGAUAACUCUUAAAGAAGUCCAAGUCAAAAUUUGAAGAGGGUCACUAGAAUAACUCAAUCUAGGAACAAUAUAUUUGCAAGAUCCACCGACCCGUAAAAAUUUUUUUUUUUUUUUUGGGAGCAAACCCAUCAAAAUUUUAAGCACUAUAGGAUUAAAAAGUAUGUGGAACAAGAAAUUAUACCAACAACGCUGGAUCCACCUGAGGCACCUAGAGCCAUUGUUGUAGUUGUGGCUUUUGUUGGGGGGUGGCUUUGGGUUUUUGAUGGAAGAUUAGAACCGACCAAAGGUUAAAACGGUGGGCUUAUUCAACACAUGAGCACGAGGGGAACUUAUAGCGGUAUGACGAAAGAAGACCACGAAAUAGAGGAAUAUUUUCUUGUUUGGUAAUUGAAAUAGAGGAAUAUAUAAAAGGGGUAAAUGGAUAGGGAAAGGCAAUAAUUAUUGUACAAGAGUUGAAAAAUUUAUAAUACUUUUAUUUCGUGGAUGCUUUUGGAAAAAUAUUACUAAAAAAAAAAUAUACAUAAUAAUUUUAAUGCACUUUCUUUAUUAAAUUAGAGUACAAGGAUAAAAGACAAAGAAAAGCAACUUUCGUGUAGAAUAAAAAGAAAAGAUAAAAAAGAUGAAUGAAUGAAUGAAUUUAUUUCCUUCUACACUCAUUGCGUUUAUUCUAUAUAUUCACUUAGAUAUUUAAAUAUAGAUAUAUAGAUACUUAGAUCUAUAUUAAGAAUUUAAAAUUGAAUUAAAUUAAUAAUAAAAUAUAAAUUUAAAAUUCAUAGAAUUCAAGUUCUUUGUUAUAAUUAUUAUAAGAUAUUUUUAUUUAUAAAUAAUAAUACUAGGUACAAAUAAUAAAUCGAGACAUCCAUUCUGUGAUAAAUUUUAACUUUAGUGUAUACAGGGUAUAGAUGCAACAAUAUAAUCCAAUUUCAAAAUUGAAAAUUCAUUUUGUGUAUAUAUAGCAUACAUCUACACCUGCUAUUGUAAAAAGUUUUCUAUUACACCAAUAGUGGAUAAAAAAACUUAUUCCUUUAUAGUUAUGAAUACUUUUACACUCUCUUUGUUUUUCUUUUUAUUUUUUGGAUUUUUGCCUUUUUUUUUUUUUGCUUUCUUUUUGGGAAAGAAAUAUCAAAGCUUCUUACUUUUUUCUCAUAAACUAGUUUUUCAUUUUCUAUAAGGGGAAAAAAAAAAGGAGGCGUGGGUUUUUUUUUGUUUUGUUUUAUUUGGCUUCUAAUUUGUAGUAGCUAGAUAGAUUUUGCGCCUAUAGACAAACAUACCAAAUAUUGACAUAAAUAUGAAUUAUUUGCGUGCUCCUGCAUUAACAGCCAUCACUAAUCUUCCCAAUUACCCAAAAAAAAAAAAAAAAAUCUUCCCAUACAUAAAAGGUAAAGAAAUUAACCCUUAGAAAAAUGCUUUUACAUUUGGAACAUUCCAGAACGCUGCAUAGGUCAAAAAUCUCUCUGUUUGGUCUGCAUUAUUGCAAAAAGAAUUUUAUAUCAUUUUUACAAAAGAUUCUUUUAAUUUAGGGAAAAUCGUUCAAAAUAUCACUUUCAUUUUUUAUCAAAUGAAUUUUUUUUUGUCCUUCACUUUUUAAAAUGUUAACUUUGUAUUCUUUACAAGUUUAAGUUAACAAAUUUUGAUCUCAACCUAAGUUUUCAACCAUUUUUAGCCUGAAAUCAUAAUAUUACCCACAUACAAUCAUUUUUUUAUAUACAAAAAAGUCAGAACUCACUUUUUUAAUGAUAAAAUGAAUAUGAAUUGAAUCAGAUCUCACUUCUUUAGGAGAAAAAUGAAUAUGAUUCAGAUAAGAUUCUACUUUUUUGGAGAACAAAAAUGAAUAUGGAUCGAAUCAUUUGUUCUAGUACAACUGACAUUUGAUCUUUUUGUCCUUUCAAAAAAAUCAUGUGCAGUCAUGUGAUGGAUUCAGUGUAAAAAAGUGAUAAAAAAUUUAGAUUAUGACCAAGUUUUACCAAUUUGAUUUUAUAAAGGACAUAAAAUUACUAUUUUAGAAGUAAAUGAUGAAAAAAUUCAUUUGAUAAAUAUGAAGAAAAUUUGAACGAUUUUCCCUCUAAUUUAUUCUCCAACCACUUUUUGAAUACAGUGUUACAUUAAUUUUUUUUAUUAAAAAGUGAAGUUUAAAAUGGUUAUCAUUAAACUCUAUCCUAAUAAGGUGGUGAUGAGAAGCUAGGAUAGUGAAAACUCACAAUUGCCAGAGGUUUUCGCUAUCAAAUUGUCAUUUUCAAGGGGAGUGGACGUGACAUAUUGAGAGAACGAAGAUAGGAUAAGAAAGUAGGCAACAACAUUGUCCAUGGGACAAGGGUCAGUAACCUUAUGAUCAUCAAAUUUUGGAUUGUUUGUACUUGGUGAUAUUUUGAUCCAAAAUACCUGCUGAACUGUUAGAAGAUAGGCAUUAGUCUUCAGAUAUACCAAAAUUGGAUAUUUCUUUAGAAUAUAAACGAAAGGGUCGGCAGAUCAAGAACUGUUGAUAUAACAAAUAAAAUUGAUGAAUCUAAUAUCACAUGCUUUACUCCCUCUCAAUUUUUCCUAAUUUAGUGCUGCAAAAAUGAAGUUAGUGGCUGCAGACAACAGUUUCAAGUUGAUCAGAACUUAAAAAGAUUGAGGACAAUUGAAAGGGCUGCACCCCAGCACCCGGGAAAUGGGAAAGAAUUGCCAGAUUUCAAAGGAGAUCAUGAGGAAUUUGAAGUUCUUCCUCUCACAUUCCAUCCUCAUGUAGCAAUUACAAAACAUAACUUCCUAAUUUGCCCACAAAACAACAGUGAUGCAUCCAACAGUCUUGAAAGAAUCACCAAUCUCAUGUUCAUGCAUUCUAAAGUACCUAAUUUGUUCUGAUGAUUCAGGGUUUGCUGUCAAAGCGAAUAGGAAAUUUCGCAAGGACAAGGAUGAUGCCAUCUUGAUG
Molecule: long non-coding RNA, 12328 nt
Filed under: Coffea arabica (coffee)
Lineage: Eukaryota; Viridiplantae; Streptophyta; Magnoliopsida; Gentianales; Rubiaceae
Description: long non-coding RNA (CARA_LNC000295)
Source: RNAcentral